UCCGAGUUGACCCCGGCAGUCUCCUAUGAGUCCCCACCAUCACGUGCUGGCAACAUAGAACGAGGGUUGCGCUCGUUGCGGGACUUAACCCAACAUCUCACGACACGAGCUGACGACAACCAUGCACCACCUGUGAACCAGCCCCAAAGGGGAAACCACAUUUCUGCGGCGGUCUGGCCCAUGUCAAGCCUUGGUAAGGUGGGGAUGACGUCUCGCAACUAACCA
RNAcentral lists this unclassified non-coding RNA (225 nucleotides) under uncultured Micrococcaceae bacterium. Its description in RNAcentral is "contains 16S-23S intergenic spacer region". Lineage: Bacteria; Bacillati; Actinomycetota; Actinomycetes; Micrococcales; Micrococcaceae. The record is from RNAcentral.